ACGGGUGAGUAACGCGUAGGUAACCUGCCUGGUAGCGGGGGAUAACUAUUGGAAACGAUAGCUAAUACCGCAUAAGAGUAGAUGUUGCAUGACAUUUGCUUAAAAGGUGCAAUUGCAUCACUACCAGAUGGACCUGCGUUGUAUUAGCUAGUUGGUGGGGUAACGGCUCACCAAGGCGACGAUACAUAGCCGACCUGAGAGGGUGAUCGGCCACACUGGGACUGAGACACGGCCCAGACUCCUACGGGAGGCAGCAGUAGGGAAUCUUCGGCAAUGGACGGAAGUCUGACCGAGCAACGCCGCGUGAGUGAAGAAGGUUUUCGGAUCGUAAAGCUCUGUUGUAAGAGAAGAACGAGUGUGAGAGUGGAAAGUUCACACUGUGACGGUAUCUUACCAGAAAGGGACGGCUAACUACGUGCCAGCAGCCGCGGUAAUACGUAGGUCCCGAGCGUUGUCCGGAUUUAUUGGGCGUAAAGCGAGCGCAGGCGGUUAGAUAAGUCUGAAGUUAAAGGCUGUGGCUUAACCAUAGUACGCUUUGGAAACUGUUUAACUUGAGUGCAAGAGGGGAGAGUGGAAUUCCAUGUGUAGCGGUGAAAUGCGUAGAUAUAUGGAGGAACACCGGUGGCGAAAGCGGCUCUCUGGCUUGUAACUGACGCUGAGGCUCGAAAG
This 669-nucleotide ribosomal RNA is filed under the name Streptococcus mitis. RNAcentral describes it as "bacterial SSU rRNA". It matches the Rfam family "Bacterial small subunit ribosomal RNA", at positions 102 to 759 of the family's 1533-position model. Lineage: Bacteria; Bacillati; Bacillota; Bacilli; Lactobacillales; Streptococcaceae. The record is from RNAcentral.